RNAcentral lists this ribosomal RNA (528 nucleotides) under Paragrallomyia albibasis. Its description in RNAcentral is "partial 12S ribosomal RNA". The record is from RNAcentral. Lineage: Eukaryota; Metazoa; Arthropoda; Insecta; Diptera; Micropezidae.
CCAGCAGUCGCGGUUAGACGAAUAAUGCGAGUAAAUUUUAUUGGAUUGAGUUAGAUUUAUUUUUAUUUAUUUAUAAUAAAUUUAUUAGGUGAAAUUUUAAAUUUAUUAAAUUAAUUUUUAUAUUAAUUGAAGCUUGGAAAUUUUAAUGAAAAACUAGGAUUAGAUACCCUAUUAUUUAAAAUUGAAUUUAAAUCUUAGGUAGUAGUAGUUAUGAUCUUGAAACUUAAAAAAUUUGGCGGUAUUUUAGUCUGUCCAGAGGAACCUGUUCUGUAAUCGAUAAUCCACGUUGGACCUUACUUAAUAAUGUUUUCAGUUUAUAUACCGUUGUUAUAAGAAUAUUUUAUAAGGAUAAUAAUUUUCUUUAAUUUUUAUUAAAAUUUAUAUCAGAUCAAGGUGUAGCUAAUGAUUAAGUAGAAAUGGGUUACAAUAAAUUUAUUUAUAUGGAUAAAGAUAUGAAAAAUUUUUUGAAGGUGGAUUUGGUAGUAAAUUUAUAAAUAUUAUUAAUUUGAUUUUAGCUCUAAAAUAUGC